This is a long non-coding RNA of Gossypium raimondii (Peruvian cotton), 1344 nucleotides long. RefSeq lists it as uncharacterized. Lineage: Eukaryota; Viridiplantae; Streptophyta; Magnoliopsida; Malvales; Malvaceae. The record is from RefSeq and is a predicted model, not a curated record. The transcript is spliced from 2 exons.
CGAAGAACUUCUAUUUAAUUUCUGUAUUUUUCUUUUUCAUUAUCGUCGGUAAAGUUUAAUGGAUUCUGCUUGUUGAGUUUGGUUCGUCAAUUAUUUCUUAUUUCUUUGGACGUGGAUGCUGUUGUGCUGUGUAAGAUUUUAAGAUUUUAGGGUUCGUAUCUUCAUUUUGGUCUUAGAGAGGUUUUUUUCCUUUAAAGAGAGAGGGCGCUGCUGAUUGAUGUAAAUGAACCCAAGUUUUAUGUGAUUUUAUUGGGUUAAAACAUGGACUAGCAAAGAUAUUGAUAAUUCCGGAUUAAAUUGAGUCCUGUGUUUUCCAUAUAGGAUAAUAGGAAUAUUUCUUUCUAUUAUGGUGCAUAUGGUAUAUGCGUGGUUUGUAUGACUAGCUCGCAUUCAGAAUGCCGAGCCUAAACAAGUUUUUCAUAUAUUUGUGGGUUACAUAAUAUGUUAUUUUCUUUUUUGUUUUUUCCCGAGAAUUUUAGGAAAAUGGUGAUUGAUGGUAAACAUGGAUGGAUAUUGAAGUCUGUGUGCUGACAAUUUAAUAUUGUUUUUCUUUUUCUUUUGGGUACAUAGAAAGGGGAAGGAAUAAUGGAUUUUAGGCUUUUAGAAAGUAAGUUUUCGUUAUAUUUAAACAAUCGUCUAUUGAUGGUCAGUAUGUUACUGUAUGUAGAUUUUCUAUACUAGUCAGCUUUACAUGAUUUUAUCAAUCAUGUUGUGAACAAGGACUUGUGGACUCGAAGCCUGGCAAUAUAUUAGUUGUUGUUUCUCAGAUUCUCACAACUUGGAGUUCUAAUGGUUGCUGAAGCUCUAGCUUUCUCUUUCUCUUUUCUUUGCUUUAGUACACAAGCACACAGAGGCGUGUUUUAACAUGAAUUGCAUAUCAUGACAGUCCAUUUUGUCUAUCAUUUUUGGCUGUUUUUAUUUGGUGGUUCACCAACAUAGAUCGAAGUUCUUGUCCUUUGUUAGUUAUUCAGUAAUUAACCUGGUGUGGGGUGUUGGUUAGAAUUAGGUUGCAUUCAUCAUUGUUAUUCUGUGUUAAUGUAGAUUCAUUUGCGUUAUUGACCAUUAUUAUAUUUUCCUAAAAUUCAUCUGGUGGUGAUAAAAAUAUGUAUUUUUAUUGUCUCUUAACCUUGGAAAGCGGAUCACCAUUUAAAGCAUGGUUAUUUCUAGAUAUUACCAGGAGAAAGAUUUUGGGAUUUAGUAGCUCACUGUUUGCUUCUUAAGGCAUCAACAAUUUCAACAAGUAGCAUGGCACUUCAAACAGCCUUUUCUAGAAUUUUAAGUCUUGAGAUUUUUGACUAUUUAUAUGUUGCAGACAGAUUGAGCGCUAACAAGUUUGUGAUGCAA